GGUAAAAUGGCCGAAAUAAGGUAAUAAACUGUAAAUUUAUUUAUGUGAGUAUUUUCUCUCUUUUACCA
RNAcentral lists this transfer RNA (68 nucleotides) under Phacomorphus fratyi. RNAcentral describes it as "tRNA-Tyr". It matches the Rfam family "tRNA". Rfam says of the family: Transfer RNA (tRNA) molecules are approximately 80 nucleotides in length. Their secondary structure includes four short double-helical elements and three loops (D, anti-codon, and T loops). Further hydrogen bonds mediate the characteristic L-shaped molecular structure. tRNAs have two regions of fundamental functional importance: the anti-codon, which is responsible for specific mRNA codon recognition, and the 3' end, to which the tRNAs corresponding amino acid is attached (by aminoacyl-tRNA synthetases). tRNAs cope with the degeneracy of the genetic code in two manners: having more than one tRNA (with a specific anti-codon) for a particular amino acid; and 'wobble' base-pairing, i.e. permitting non-standard base-pairing at the 3rd anti-codon position. Lineage: Eukaryota; Metazoa; Arthropoda; Insecta; Coleoptera; Leiodidae. The record is from RNAcentral.